Molecule: ribosomal RNA, 305 nt
Filed under: uncultured bacterium
Lineage: Bacteria
Description: bacterial SSU rRNA
Rfam family: Bacterial small subunit ribosomal RNA
Source: RNAcentral
ACAGACCUACGGGGGGCAGCAGUGGGGAAUAUUGCACAAUGGGGGGAACCCUGAUGCAGCGACGCCGCGUGGGUGAAGGAGUACUUCGGUACGUAAAGCCCUAUCAGCAGGAAAGAAAAUGACGGUACCUGACUAAGAAGCCCCGGCUAACUACGUGCCAGCAGCCGCGGUAAUACGUAGGGGGCAAGCGUUGUCCGGAUUUACUGGGUGUAAAGGGCGUGCAGCCGGGAAGACAAGUCAGAUGUGAAAUCCCGCGGCUCAACCGCGGAACUGCAUUUGAAACUGUUUUUCUUGAGUACCGGAGG